UCACGUGCAAUUUUGAAAUUUCACUCUUGCACAUAUAUAUAGUUGAAAACAAAAAAGAAGCAAGAGAAAUAAAAAUUAAAAACAAAACGAGUAACAAAUUAGAAACCAAAAAUGGAAAAAUAAAAAGGAAACAAAAAGCGGUUAGGAGGAGGAUCGAACAAGCGACCUCUAGAACAGAUUGACUGACCAUAAACUGUUGG
Molecule: long non-coding RNA, 200 nt
Filed under: Brachypodium distachyon (stiff brome)
Lineage: Eukaryota; Viridiplantae; Streptophyta; Magnoliopsida; Poales; Poaceae
Description: long non-coding RNA (BDIS_LNC004266)
Source: RNAcentral